RNAcentral lists this ribosomal RNA (751 nucleotides) under uncultured Glomeromycotina. Its description in RNAcentral is "SSU rRNA". It matches the Rfam family "Eukaryotic small subunit ribosomal RNA", at positions 338 to 1092 of the family's 1831-position model. Lineage: Eukaryota; Fungi; Glomeromycota. The record is from RNAcentral.
GGCCUACCAUGGUUUUAACGGGUAACGGGGAAUUAGGGUUCGAUUCCGGAGAGGGAGCCUGAGAAACGGCUACCACAUCCAAGGAAGGCAGCAGGCGCGCAAAUUACCCACUUCCAGAACGGAGAGGUAGUGACGAAAAAUAACGAGACAGUCCUCUUCGAGGUCUGUCAUCGGAAUGGGUACAAUUUAAAUCCUUUAACGAGGAUCUAUUGGAGGGCAAGUCUGGUGCCAGCAGCCGCGGUAAUUCCAGCUCCAAUAGCGUAUAUUAAAGUUGUUGCAGUUAAAAAGCUCGUAGUUGAAUUUCGGGAUCAAUUUGUUGGUCGUGCCUCGGUACGUACUGGCAUUAUUGGUUUCUACCUUCUGAAGAACCUUGAUGUCAUUAAUUUGGUGUCUUGGGGAAUCAGGACUGUUACUUUGAAAAAAUUAGAGUGUUUAAAGCAGGCAUACGCUUGAAUACAUUAGCAUGGAAUAAUGAAAUAGGACGUUUGAUUCUAUUUUGUUGGUUUCUAGGAUCGACGUAAUGAUUAAUAGGGAUAGUUGGGGGCAUUAGUAUUCAAUUGUCAGAGGUGAAAUUCUUGGAUUUAUUGAAGACUAACUACUGCGAAAGCAUUUGCCAAGGAUGUUUUCAUUAAUCAAGAACGAAAGUUAGGGGAUCGAAGACGAUCAGAUACCGUCGUAGUCUUAACCAUAAACUAUGCCGACUAGGGAUCGGAUGAUGUUAAUUUUUUAAUGACUCAUUCGGCGCCUUACG